UGUAGAAGUUCGUCCAGAAUCCAUCCACUAUGAAAGUUUGGACGGAGUCCAGUUCUUGCAAAAGGCUGAAAGGAGGCCGCUUAUUGUAGCAGCUUGGAUGAGGAUCGAUUGUCGUGGAAGCUCGGAGUAGUAUCCUGGUUGGUAGAGCCCGUCUCGUUAUAGAAGCUCGUCCAGAAUCCAUCUGUAAUAGAAGUUCGGAAGAAAUUCAUUUACAGUAGAGGCUCGA
Molecule: long non-coding RNA, 226 nt
Filed under: Elaeis guineensis (African oil palm)
Lineage: Eukaryota; Viridiplantae; Streptophyta; Magnoliopsida; Arecales; Arecaceae
Description: long non-coding RNA (EGUI_LNC007077)
Source: RNAcentral